RNAcentral lists this ribosomal RNA (154 nucleotides) under Armillaria mellea. RNAcentral's name for it is "partial large subunit ribosomal RNA". It matches the Rfam family "Eukaryotic large subunit ribosomal RNA", at positions 1 to 153 of the family's 3401-position model. Lineage: Eukaryota; Fungi; Basidiomycota; Agaricomycetes; Agaricales; Physalacriaceae. The record is from RNAcentral.
UUGACCUCAAAUCAGGUAGGACUACCCGCUGAACUUAAGCAUAUCAAUAAGCGGAGGAAAAGAAACUAACAAGGAUUCCCCUAGUAACUGCGAGUGAAGAGGGAAAAGCUCAAAUUUAAAAUCUGGCAGCUUUGCUGUCCGAGUUGUAAUUUAG